This 433-nucleotide ribosomal RNA is filed under the name uncultured bacterium. RNAcentral's name for it is "partial 16S ribosomal RNA". It matches the Rfam family "Bacterial small subunit ribosomal RNA", at positions 29 to 507 of the family's 1533-position model. The record is from RNAcentral.
AGCGAACGCUGGCGGCAGGCCUAACACAUGCAAGUCGAACGAACUCUUAGGAGUUAGUGGCGGUCGUGUGAGUAACACGUGGGAACGUGCCUUUUGGUUCGGAAUAACUCAGGGAAACUUGUGCUAAUACCGAAUGUGCCCUUCGGGGGUAAGAUUUAUCGCCAUUGGAUCGGCCCGCGUCUGAUUAGCUAGUUGGUGAUGUAACGGCUAACUAAGGAGUCGAUCAGUAGCUGGUCUGAGAGGAUGACCAGCCACACUGGGACUGAGACACGGCCCAGACUGCGACGGGAGGGAGCAGUGGGGAAUCUUGCGCAAUGGGGGAAAGCCUAACGAAGCCAUGCGGCGUGAAUGAUGAAGGUGUUAGGAUUGUAAAAUUGUUUGAGCGGGGACGAUAAUGACGGUACCCGGAGAAGAAGCCCCGGCUAACUUCGUG